This 2432-nucleotide long non-coding RNA is filed under the name Gossypium barbadense (sea-island cotton). RNAcentral describes it as "long non-coding RNA (GBAR_LNC013282)". Lineage: Eukaryota; Viridiplantae; Streptophyta; Magnoliopsida; Malvales; Malvaceae. The record is from RNAcentral.
GAGCAAAACAAAACAGAGAAGGGAGAAAUAAAGAAACAGAGAGCAAAACGAAACAGAGAAGGAAGGAAGGAAAGAAAGAAAGAAAAGAAAAGAAAAAGGGAAAUUUGGGGUUUUAAGGUUCAAAGUAAUUUCGUAAGUCAAUUUAAUCCCCUUUUCUCUUAAUUUUGAUAUUUUUUUUGAAAUCCUAGAACAAAAUACUACUUGAUUUAAGUUGAAAUUUUGGAAGUUAGUAGAUUAUUAAGCAUGGUUCAUGUUGAAUAAAUUGUUAAAUUAGGGAUGUAUUUGAUAGAAAUUUUGAUUGGAAUUAAAUAAAGGAUUGAAUUGUAAACUAAACUAUAAGUUUUGAAUUUUAGGGAUUAAUUUGAAAUAAAUUCGGAAUUAUGAAAACAUGAUAAAAAUUAAAUAGUUAAAUAUGAGUUUAGCAAGAAAUUGGGUAGAAUAAGGGUAUGAAUUGAGAAAGAAAAAUAUAUAGGUUUAGUUAGGGGUUAAAUUGAUUUAAUUUCAAGUUAGAAGUUAGUAAAGAAUGUAAUUGUAAAAUAAAAUAUAAGUUUUGAAUCGAUAGGGAUUAAAUUGAAAGAAUCCCGAAAUUAGGGAUUUAUGGUGAAAUUGAGGAAUUAAAUUGACUUUAUAGUAAGAAUUAAGAGAGAAUAUAGAGUUAGAUUGGGAAAAAUAAAAUUAGUAUUGGUAAGGGAUCAAAUUAGAAUUUGGGUAAAGUUUAGGUAUAAAAGGAAAUAUUUUAAUGAAAUUGUGUAUUAAUGAUUUUUAAUUGUUUAAUUACGUAGCUAAUGUCGUGUACGAGUCAUUGUCCGAGAAAGGAAAGGAGAAAGUGGACAAGGAGUGACUCGAGAGAAAUUACGGUUAGUAUUACUAUAAUUCGAAUUUAAUUAUUAAUCGUUGAAAUUUAAAUUAAUAUGCAUGAUAAGCAAAUUAAGGUGAGUAUCAUGAAAGAAUUGAAUGAAUAUAUAUAUACGUAUUGGUAUUGAAUUUAUUAAUAAUAAUUGUUGAAUUUUGAAUAAUAUGUUUAGUAAAAAAAAUAAUAAUAAGAUGAAUAUUGAUAUUGAAUUGUACAUGAAUUCGAGUGGAAAAUGAAUUAAAAAUAUAUAUAUAUGAAUGGAAUAAAAGUGAAUUAAAUUGUGAAUAAGUGUGAUAUAUGUGAAUUGCGGAAUAAGUAGUAAAUUGUAAUGACGAAGAAAUGAUAAAUCCUUUUUGAAAUAAUUCUAUAAAGUAUUUAAAUAAAUGAGAUUCAUAUUUAAUGCCCAAGUAGAUGGAAUUUAGAACUACCAGGAUAUUAGUGGCAUGCCAUUAAGGAACUUAUUAAGGAACUUUAGCGCGCUCUCUGAUUAUUAGCACGUUGGUGCUCUUUGAUAUUAGCACGUUGGUGCUCUUUGAUAUUAGCACGUUGGUGCUCUCUGAUAUUUAGCACGUCAGUGCUCUCUGUUUAGCACAUUUGUGCUCUCUGUAUUUGUUCCGUAUAUCCGGGGUGUUCUGUAAAAUCUACUUUGGGCUAAGAGUAUAAGCUGUGGACAAAAGUGAAAUUGUGAAUUGAUGUGAGAAUUUGAAAAUCGAGAUAAGAGAUUUAAAGAUAUGAACCCAAAGUUCAUGAUAUGAUAAAGAGUAAAUUUUGUUAUAUGAUAUUAGUGAGUACAAAUUGCAAUAAAAUUUAUAUUGAAUAUAAAUUAAAUGAAAUGAAUUGUAUAUGAAUUGAAAUGAACUAUUGGAAUGAGAUGUAAAGAAAAAUCCCAUGGAAUUGAGAUAGUGAAAUAAGGUAUGAAUACAAUUAAAUACAAGAUUUGAAUUAUAGCUUAUUGUUAUUAAUUAUCAAGUUGAUUUAAUGCAUGAGAUAAUUAAUGAAUAAUUGUAGACAUAAAUAAAAUGUAUAUAAUUUGUCGAUUAAUGUUAUUAAUUCGAAUUAUGGUAAUACCACUGAGUAUUUCCAUACUCAGCGUACGGUUGUUUCCGUGCGCAGGUUAGGUCAAAGUCGGAUUGUUGAAUCAGCAUCCAAAGCCGAUUCUGAGCUAAUUGUGGUGGUGAACAUUUCUUUUAGUUAUGGCAUGUAUAGGAAUUUAGUAAUUUUGUAUAUUUGUAAAUAUGAUUUUACUAUAGAAUGAUGUGUAAGUAUUUGAUGAUGAAUGGUUGUUUAAAUGGUCAAGGAUGAAGUUAAUUAUUGUUAUAAAAGUCUAAGUGAUAAAUUAGGUAUGAAAAUCAUAAAAUGGUAAAAUUUUGCAAAGAAAUAGAAUUCAGGCAGCAAUAGUGACGUAACUUUGAAAAAUCACCUAGGAUAGUAUAAAAUGAAUUAGAGGGUGAAUGAUAUAUGAAAUGAAAUAUUAUUGAGUCUAUUUUUAUAUAAAAAUAACGGUUUAGCAAAAAGAAAUUUAUAUUUUAAGAUAUGUGAAUUUUAGUGAGAAAUGGUCAGAUCUAUUUCUGGAGUCCCC